Molecule: transfer RNA, 69 nt
Filed under: Verrucomicrobiaceae bacterium
Lineage: Bacteria; Pseudomonadati; Verrucomicrobiota; Verrucomicrobiia; Verrucomicrobiales; Verrucomicrobiaceae
Description: tRNA-Pro
Source: RNAcentral
GGGUAUAGCGCGGUCUGGUAGACCCUUUGCUUUGGGAGCAGGAGGUCGGGAGUUCAAAUCUCUCUACCC